UACGAAGGGGGCUAGCGUUGUUCGGAAUUACUGGGCGUAAAGCGCGCGCAGGCGGUCUUCCAAGUCAGUGGUGAAAGCCCGGAGCUCAACUCCGGAAUUGCCUUUGAUACUGAAGAUCUUGAGUUCGGGAGAAGUGAGUGGAACUGCGAGUGUAGAGGUGAAAUUCGUAGAUAUUCGCAAGAACACCAGUGGCGAAGGCGGCUCACUGGCCCGAUACUGACGCUGAUGCACGAAAGCGUGGGAAGCAAACAGG
Molecule: ribosomal RNA, 253 nt
Filed under: uncultured bacterium
Lineage: Bacteria
Description: partial 16S ribosomal RNA
Rfam family: Bacterial small subunit ribosomal RNA
Source: RNAcentral